RNAcentral lists this unclassified non-coding RNA (2476 nucleotides) under Homarus americanus (American lobster). RNAcentral describes it as "mucin-3A-like, transcript variant X1". The record is from RNAcentral. Lineage: Eukaryota; Metazoa; Arthropoda; Malacostraca; Decapoda; Nephropidae.
CAGUGAAGUGCAGCAUGUGACCCCUGAUGAAGAGAGCUUAUCUUCCAUAUCUGUCAAUAUCAGUUGUCCACAAGGAUGUCCUCGUACAUUUGCCAAUUCCUCUGCCCUCAGACUACAUUUAAGUCAGAACGCAGGACCGGCCCGCCCUGGGUGACGUUCCAGAACGCGUGCCUUUUCCCGCCACCGUUUGAAUGCCCAUUGCAGGUUAACAGGUACCAGCGUGACUAUUUGUCUGUCACAGCACACGGCGGGGAGCGUGGGUGGACUCAGAGCGGUCAGUAACCAUUCCCCUGUCGUCAUGGAGAGUCGCCCCUCAACCUCCCGUGCCAUUUCAACCCCAAUCAAGCGUCGCAGCCACCGUGGGUUGGAUGAUUGUGAGAUACAAACAGAACUAUAUGAUGUAAGUGCUGUAUUGUGUGAUUCUGGUGAAAGUGGUGAUGAAGUCAGUGCUUAUAUGCCUAGUGAUCCUGAGGAUAGCGUCGAGUUAGACGAUGUUUUAGGGACAAGUGGUGAUGAGGGCGAGGUACAGCCAGCGCGGUGUAGGCCCGCCACGCGUUCACAGCCCAGACAAGGAACAAAGGAUGUUUUUGUUUGGUCUGAUGGCAGCAAUUUCCAGCCUGACAUCCCUGAUUUCAGACGCUCAUCAGGUGGAAUUACUCCUGAAUUUCCUUGUACAGAGGAAUCAAGUGAGAUGGACUACUUUUGUGCCUUCUUUGAUGGUGCAUUCAUGGACUUACUGUGUACUGAAACAAAUAAAUUUUAUCAGCACAUGUGUGAAGCUGACCCCCGCCCUGGCCCCUCGCCAAAAAUGCGCCGAUGGACUGAUGUUGUUGUGUCUGAAUUAUAUGUGUUUUUUGCAUUACUAAUGCUAAUGGCACAUGUGAAAAAACACGUACUUCAGGAGUAUUGGAUAUCUUAUGAUGACAUCACAGCAACUCCAUUGUUUUCGAAAUUCAUGUCAAGAGACCGGUUUGCCUCCAUCCUGUGUUAUCUACACUUCAUGGACAACAACAAACCUGUGGCCGGUGACCCACUCUGGAAAAUAAGGACAGUUUUUAUGAUGCUGAAGGAACGAUUCAUGAAGUUCUUCAAACCCUUUCAGAAUGUAGUGGUGGACGAGUCUCUGGUGCUUUUCAGAGGACGUGUUGUUUUUCGACAAUACAUUCCCUCCAAACAACAUCGCUUUGAGAUAAAGUUCUUCGUGCUGUGUGACUGCGAGACUGGAUAUGUCUUAGAUCUCAUAGUUUACACAGCAAGUGAUGUAGACAUACCCAAGGAUGAUCCACAUGGUUUCUCUGGUGCUGUUGUCAAGAAACUUAUGGACCGCUACUUUGGAGGGAAUCAUGUCCUCUACAUGGACAAUUAUUAUACCUCUCCUGCCCUGGCCAAGUUCCUACUUGAACAUGACAUCGGUUCUUGUGGGACAGUACGUAAAAACAGGAAACACUGGCCCAUGUUUCCUGGUAAACCUGCAAGAGGAGACAUCCAGCUAAAGCAAGCAGACAAGUUGCUUGCAAUACGUUGGCAUGAUAAGCGUACUGUGCAGAUGCUGUCAACCGUUCACAAGGGCAUAAUGGUGGACAGUGGCAAAACGGACAGGGCAACAGGAGAGGUAGUAAAAAAACCUGACGCUGUCGUGGACUACAAUGUCAACAUGCACUUCAUGGACAAGAGUGACAUGCAGGUUGGCGCAGUUGAGUGUGUACGGAAAUGUCUCAAGUGGUAUGUGAAGAUGUUCCUACAUCUCUUGGACAUCACCAUCCUGAAUGCGUACAACUUGUACCUUGUAAAAUCCGGGAAAAAACCCUCUCUUAGGGUUUUUCAGAAGCAAGUGACAAAUCAACUCCUGGAGAAAUAUGGCAACAUUGUGGCAGCUGUACCACGACGUCGAAGCCAAGCAAGACUCCCUGACAGACUCCUUGCAUGUGACUGGGUUACUCGUCACUACCUGGAUGGCCUUCCGACUCUUCCAAGUGGUCGUAGGAUGCAAAAGAGGUGUUACGUCUGCAGGAACACCACAAAGCGCCCAGCAAAACGUAAGGAUGUGACGACGUGGUGCAAGGAGUGCGACAUUGGUCUCUGUGCACCUUGCUUCAUGGAGUACCACACAAAGAAAAUAUUCUAAAACAAUGUGGCACGUGAGGAGUGCUUGUAAAUAGUUUAAAUGUAAUGUAAGUGUAUUUGUAAGGUACAAAGUGACAUUUGUGUAAAAGGUACACAGUUGUACGCAUUCACUCACCACUACCCACAAGCAAAAGGAGGCGCCUCGUCAGGGUAGCACAAACACCACCGCUACCUAUCACCACCACCUCUCCUCCUGCGAUCAAAGGGAAGCUGCUUGGUGCACCAUCUGGAAACUGGGAGUAAUGUUGCCCCGAUCCCUGGAACUAUAUGGUAUCACUGUCCUGUGACUUCCUGUGUAUACCACAUUGACUUUGGUGUUAAUGGGAGACAUUUUCCAAAGUUGAAGUACCUU